RNAcentral lists this ribosomal RNA (380 nucleotides) under uncultured eukaryote. RNAcentral's name for it is "partial 18S ribosomal RNA". It matches the Rfam family "Eukaryotic small subunit ribosomal RNA", at positions 592 to 976 of the family's 1831-position model. The record is from RNAcentral.
CAAUAGCGUAUAUUAAAGUUGUUGCAGUUAGAACGCUCGUAGUCGGAUUUCGGGGCGGGCCGACCGGUCUGCCGAUGGGUACGCACUGGUCGGCGCGUCCUUCCUUCCGGAGACCGUGCCUACUCUUAACUGAGCGGGGGCGGGAGACGGAACGUUUACUUUGAAAAAAUCAGAGUGUUUCAAGCAGGCAGUGCGCUCUUGCAUGGAUUAGCAUGGGAUAAUGAAAUAGGACUUUGGUGCUAUUUUGUUGGUUUCGAACACCGAAGUAAGGAUUAAAAGGGACAGUCAGGGGCACUCGUAUUCCGCCGAGAGAGGUGAAAUUCUCAGACCAGCGGAAGACGAACCACUGCGAAAGCAUUUGCCAGGGAUGUUUUCACUGA